UCAAGGACAAGAACUCGAUGAAAGCUAAAGAGUAAGUGAGACUUUUCUCAAAAAGAAAUAGGACAAAAUAUGUAUAUUAAGAAAGAAACUGGAAUGGCUAUUGCCAAAAUACAAGAAAACUAGAGACCCUUGAAACUAGACUAGAAGCAAGAAAGGAGUUGACAAGAGUGAAGAGGGCUUCACUCUUGCCUCUAUAUAUACUAUCUAACUAGAAGCCACGUGGCGAUGUUCUAUAAGACCUCCAAUAUAUGUUGACUUUCUAGGCCACAUGCCUUUGCUUGCAAGGCAAGUUUUCUAUGGAUGGACCACAUAGUUAGCUUGUUCUUUAAGCUUCUAACAUGCGUGGCACAUGGCUAACUUGUUGACCAAGUUUCUAACCUAAAAGUCAACUAUAGACUCCUAUAAAGUCAAAGCAGCGUCUAUGAAGCUUCUAAGAAGCUUCUCUAGAAGAUAUUACACAAUUAACCUACUUUUACAUACUUUUAUCUAUUCAUAUAGGUAAUUAUAUGUAUGUCCGUGACAUUACCCCCCCUUCUAGGGACGAGUUCCACGAGGAGCCGUGAUUAUAUAUUGAGAAAAUCUAAUAUGCGGCAAAUUGUAUUUGCUACAUACUCUGAUCUUCGUUCUCUUCGAAGAUAGUUGAUGGGUCCUCUUAGCCAUCGAUAGUGUCCCAUUCCAGGGCGAGAAGACCACCCUGUUAUUUGAUCAUUGUUGAGGCCUUCAUAACUUCCUUCAAAUAAUACAUUUGAAACACCAUCAGGAGUCAUUCCUAUCUCCAAUAAUAUCACCAAACAUCGAGAAUCUCUUCCAAGGUCGUGAUACCAAACGCGUUGUAUCUCACCAUCUAUUCGAAGAAGAACAUGUCGUUCUUGAGGGUCUUCAUCUCGGUUGCGUCGUCUUGAAGGUUGUGACAAUCGCAAUGUCUCAUCCGGUAAGUCAGCAAACGAAGGUUCUUGAGUUGAAUCCGCUGGUUGUUGGCUCUCCAUCUAAUUAGCGUCACAAAAUGCAAAGAAGUUACAAACAAGGAUAGGAAAUUGAAUGUUAUCUUGCCUCAAUCUUGUCUCUUUUAUAAGAGAGGUUUUCAUCUUGGUUUUGAUGGAUGUCGUUGAUGAAAAACUUUGACUUUAGCUGAUGCAUUUCCUAGAUUCCUGGAUGGCUCCCAUGUGCGCUCACUAAUAUCAUAUCCGCGCCAAUGAACAAGAUAUUCCAGCUUAUUUCGGCGCCGCCUUGAGUCUAAUAUCUCUUCCACCUCAAAUUCUUCAUUAUUAUCUACUUCUAUAGGAGGCGGUGGCAUUUGUCUUCUUCCUUGUAUAUCCACUGUCUUAUAUGGUUCAAGAAGAGACACGUGGAAUACAGGAUGGAUCUUCAUUGACUCCGGUAGAUGUAACCGAUAUGCAACUGGGUUGAUUUGUUUAGAAACAGAAAAGGGGCCAAGCCUACGAUAGUCCAAUUUGUCACAAGGUCGAGUGGUCUUGAUAUUGCGACGAAGUAGCCAUACCUUAUCACCCACGUUGAGUUGUGGUUGCUCUUUACGAUAUACAUCUGCAUUUAUCUUUUGUCGUUCUUGAGCUUUCUUCAACUGCGCCUUCAUUAUUGCAUGUAACUCUGACAACCGAUUUGCCAUAUCUUCUGCUGCAGGAUUAUCAACUUUUGAAAAAUCAAAAGUAUCAAGUCGUGGAUGAUAGCCAUAAUUGGCAAAGAAAGGUGUUUGUUGCGUGGAGGAAUGUACCGUAUUAUUAUAAGCAAACUCUGCCAAUGGCAGAAGGUUUGUCCAAUCAUCUUGUUGGUAGUUGAUGGUACACCUUAAAUACUGUUCCAAGACUUGGUUUACGCGCUCUGUUUGUCCAUCAGUUUGAGGAUGGAAAGCUGAAGAUAGCUUUAUGUCCACUUUUAAAAUCUUGAAAAGAGUCCUCCAAAAUCUCGACACAAAUUGAGUUCCCCUAUCCGAUAUGAUAUCUUUAGGCAAUCCAUGAUAGCGAUAGAUAUUAUCAAUGAAAAGCUUAGCUGUUUCUUCACCUGUGAUAGAUUUUGUACAUGGCAUAAAAUGUGCCAUCUUGGUGAAACGAUCUACUAUCACAAAUAUAGAAUCAUAAGAUCUUGAGUUUGGAAGAUCUGUGAUGAAAUCCAUAGAAACAGAAGACCAUGGUUGUUCUGGUAUAGGUAAUGGCUGAAGAAGUCCGUAAGGUCGAUGUCGAGGAAUUUUUGAUCUUGAACAAAUAUCACAUGAUUGUACAAAGUCUUUGACUGACUUCCACAUUUGUGGCCACCAAAAAUCUCUUGAUAUGAGUUCCAAAGUCUUAUUAUAUCCAAAGUGCCCUGCUGCUGGAAAGUCAUGACGUGCUUGAAGAACACGCAAACGUGCUUUUCCUUCUGGAACAUAUAGGCGUCCUUCAAAAUAUAAUAGAUUAUUCUUGAACUCGAACUUAGAAGAAUCAUGAGACUUGGAAGAAUUAUUCUCGAUAUCAUGAACAAGAGGGUCUGAGGACAUACUGGACUGGAUUUGCUUGAGAAAAGUUGAAUCAACAGUCAGUGUUGAUUUCACUGCUCGGAGAUGAAAUUGCUCCGGUUUCAAGAGGACCGUUUUUUGUUGCUCAAAAGCUGCAUCUCCUUCUUUUGGUGCAAAAUAAGAACGUCUAGACAGGGCAUCGGACAAACCUUGUUGUUUUCCUGGCCGAUAAGUGAUAAUGAAGUCGAAUCUUGACAAAGACAUACUCCAACGAGCUUGACGACGAUUCAACACGCGUGCUGACAUGAAAUACUCGAGGUUCUUGUGAUCUGUAUACACAAUGACUGGACUAGAAGCACCUUCUAGAUAAUGACGCCAUUCUUGAAAAGAAUCCACGAUCGCAAGAAGUUCUUUAUCGUGGAUUUCAUAAUUGAUCUCGGCUGCUGAGAAUUUUCUUGAAUGAAAAGCUAUCGGAUGAAGUUUGUCAUCUGUUCCCAUUUGUGAUAAAACUGCACCCAAGGCAAAAUCCGAUGCGUCUGUUUCCAUAAAAAAUGCCUUGGAAAAAUCAACACGAUAUAAGACUGGUGCAGAGACAAACGAUGUCUUCAAGGCUUCAAAUGCUGCUUCCGCUUCUUGAUUCCAUUGGAAUUUAUCUUUACUAGUCAAGCGUGUAAGUGGAGCUGCAACUCGUGAGAAGUCUUUGAUGAAGAUCCGAUAGUAAUUGGCAAAUCCCAAGAAACAUUGGACAUCUCUUACAGUCUUUGGAAUCUUCCAAUCUAUGAUUGUUUGGACUUUCUUAGAAUCCAUCAUAAGACCAUCAUUUGAAAUGAUGUAUCCUAAAAAGUCAACUUGAGUAGUGUGAAAUACACACUUUUCCAUCUUGGCAUACAAUCCUGCAUCUCUGAGUUUUUGUAAUACUUGACGAACAUGUAUUUCAUGUUCUUCAACAUUCUUAGAAUAAAUCAGGAUAUCGUCUAGGUAGCAGACGACAAAAUUGUCUAAGAAUUCACGAAAUACAUCAUUCAUGAGAUGUUGAAAAGCAGCUGGUGCAUUCGUGAGUCCAAAAGGCAUGACAUUAUAUUCAAAAUGCCCGUACCUGGUUCGAAACGCAGUCUUCCAUUCAUCUCCUUCUUUGAUCCGUACUAGAUUAUAUGCUCCUCUUAGAUCUAUUUUUGUAUAGAUCUUAGCUUGAUUUAACUGGUCAAGGAGUCCUGAUAUCAAAGGUAAUGGAUACCUGUUCUUGAUUGUGAUCUUGUUGAGUCCUCGAUAGUCAACACACAUUCGUAAAGAUCCAUCUUUUUUCUUUACGAAUAAAAUUGGAGCUCCUGCUGGAGAUUUUGAAUGGCGUAUGAAAUUCUUCGUUAAAUUCUCGUUAAUAUAUGUCUUGAGUUCAGCCAACUCAUCUUGCGAUAAACUGUAAAUUGGUCCAAAUGGUGGCUGAGUUCCUUCCUUGAGAUCGAUUGAACAAUCGUAUGGGCGAUGCUCAGGAAGAAUAUCUGCAUUUUUUUUCUCAAAAACGUCUUGAUAAUCCUGAUAUUGACUUGGAAUGCCACUUGAAGUCUUUACGCUUUCAGAAAUAGGUGCAGCAUAAAUAGCAAAAGUUGAUCCUUCUUUUGCUGCGUGUAUAAAUGCUUUUGCACCUAUAGGUGCGAGUUUUACUAUACUAGACUCAUGGUUUUUUACUUGGUUAAUAGAACUGUUACUAAUGCUCUGAGGAAAAUCAAGUUUACGAGAAAUCCAAUCUAUUCGAGGAUUAUACUUUUCUAACCAUGAUAAGCCUAAAAUUACUGGAUUAGAGGGAGAUCUAAUUAUAUUAAAAAUUACGCAACUACUAUGACCAUUUAUUACUACAUCUACAGGAAGUGUUUCGUGAGUUACAUCUCCAGAAGACAACGGACGACCAUCUAUGACUUCUACGUGUACAGGUUUAGUUUUUUGUAUUAAUGAUAUUCUAUGACAUCUAGCAAAUUCUUCAUCUAAAAAACAAGAUGAGGCUCCUGAAUCUAUCAAGGCAGAGGCUUUGUAAUUAUUAGGUCCUAAACGCACAUCUAUUAUAAAACAAGGAGAUGGUUCUGAGGAGAGGAUAGGACCUUUAUUAGAAGUUGUACAAGAUUCCAGCCGCACGGUCCCUAUUGUAGCUGGACGUACUCGUUUUCCGACAUACUGUCUUCUUUGACAGCCAUACUCCUCAUUUUGUAGUUACGUCGCUUCUUUGGACAAUGUUGAGCAGUGUGCUUAGGUUCUCCACAAUAUAAGCACAAUCCUUCUUGUCGACGACGAGACUUUUCUUGCUCAGUAAGAGGUUUGAAACGUACCGCAUCAAUUUGCAUAUCCUCUACUUCUGAAGGUAUGUGUUGAGGAGACGUCGGUGUUGCCAUUGAAUUGUAGUAACGUUGAGGCCCACUUGUGCGACUCUCGGAUCGAAAUUCAAAAAGUCGAUUGUCGCACUUCACAGCAAAGUCAAUUGCUUGACUCAAUGUUUGAGGAUCAGGUAAAUUAAGCAUCAAUUUCUUUACCUCAUAUUGUAAUCCGUAGAGAAAUUGACUCACAAGUGCGGCAUCAUCCCACUUGAUAUCAGUUGCAAGUUGUCGAAAUUGCGAAGCAUAUAAUGUUACUGAUCGAUUGCCUUGUCGCAAAAUACGGAUCUUGUUGGUUGCAACACGAAUUGCAUCAUGUUCUCCAAACAUGGAUCGAAACUCCGCCAAAAAAGCCUCCAGAUUAUCCAAUAUUGGAUCUCGUCGUUCAAGAAAAGAUGAAAACCAUGACAAUGCUGAACCUGAAAGAAGUGUACCAAUGAAUCUUACUUGUGACCCUGGAGUUGGAUAGCUCUGGGAUUGAAGUUCAAUCACUAGUUGGACCUGAUUGAUGAAUCCUCGAAACUUGGAUCUGGUACCAUCAAACUUCUCGGGCAAGGCAACUCUCGGUUCUCUAACACUCGAAGGGUGUUCCAUUCUGGGAGAAGGGACAUGGUUUGGUGCAGAUGUUGAAGCAGCCCCAAUCAUCUCUAUAUCUUCACUUCCUACCAUUCUUGUUGCUCCUUGUGGUGGUAAAUUGAGUUGAUGCAUCGCAAGCAUUAACUCCCUCAAUUGUUCUUGCAUCUGUGCCAUUGCACUCUUCAUUUCAACAAGCUCUGCCAUAGUAGCACUUAGAAAAGAGAAGAUGUCUAAUAACGCUCAAAACAAAUAGAAGAGAGGAAUUGAUAACAAAGAAAAUACUAAGAACAAUAUCAGUUUAAAAGAGGGUAAUCCGCAACUUCUAAUGCGCUUAUGUCUUAUCAAGAAAAAGGGGUAAUCCACUCUUAAUCAAGAAAAGACAAAGCUCUGAUAUUGUAAGUGUACUCUUGUCAAUCUGUCAAGGACAAGAACUCGAUGAAAGCUAAAGAGUAAGUGAGACUUUUCUCAAAAAGAAAUAGGACAAAAUAUGUAUAUUAAGAAAGAAACUGGAAUGGCUAUUGCCAAAAUACAAGAAAACUAGAGACCCUUGAAACUAGACUAGAAGCAAGAAAGGAGUUGACAAGAGUGAAGAGGGCUUCACUCUUGCCUCUAUAUAUACUAUCUAACUAGAAGCCACGUGGCGAUGUUCUAUAAGACCUCCAAUAUAUGUUCUUUCUAGGCCACAUGCCUUUGCUUGCAAGGCAAGUUUUCUAUGGAUGGACCACGUAGUUAGCUUGUUCUUUAAGCUUCUAACAUGCGUGGCACAUGGCUAACUUGUUGACCAAGUUUCUAACCUAAAAGUCAACUAUAGACUCCUAUAAAGUCAAAGCAGCGUCUAUGAAGCUUCUAAGAAGCUUCUCUAGAAGAUAUUACACAAUUAACCUACUUUUACAUACUUUUAUCUAUUCAUAUAGGUAAUUAUAUGUAUGUCCGUG
This 6314-nucleotide long non-coding RNA is filed under the name Physcomitrium patens. Its description in RNAcentral is "long non-coding RNA (PPAT_LNC013353)". Lineage: Eukaryota; Viridiplantae; Streptophyta; Bryopsida; Funariales; Funariaceae. The record is from RNAcentral.